UAUUAGGUUGGUGCAAAAGUAAUUGCGGUUUUUGCCAUUGAAAGUGAAGGCCAAAACUGCAAUUACUUUUGCACCAACCUAAUA
Homo sapiens (human) is the source of this 84-nucleotide microRNA precursor. It matches the Rfam family "mir-548 microRNA precursor family". Lineage: Eukaryota; Metazoa; Chordata; Mammalia; Primates; Hominidae. The record is from Rfam.